This 270-nucleotide unclassified non-coding RNA is filed under the name Hevea brasiliensis (rubber tree). Lineage: Eukaryota; Viridiplantae; Streptophyta; Magnoliopsida; Malpighiales; Euphorbiaceae. The record is from RNAcentral.
AUUUUUUGGUCAAGAAGAAGACGAAGAAUCACCGACGAUAGACACCAUGGCAAUGUAUAUCCGUGUGAAGCGUAAUAAGACCACCUACUUUAUUCAAUGUGACCCAACUGAGACAGUUCUACAAAUGAAGGAGAAAUUGUCUAACCUCAUAGAUCAACCUGCUAAUGAUCAGCAACUAGUCCUGAUGCCUGCUGGAGAUGUGUUGGAAGACUCGAAGUCCCUAGCUGAUCAGAAGGUUGAAAAUGAUGCUGUGGUGGCGCUGACUCUGAG